This is a long non-coding RNA of Astatotilapia calliptera (eastern happy), 6061 nucleotides long. Lineage: Eukaryota; Metazoa; Chordata; Actinopteri; Cichliformes; Cichlidae. The record is from Ensembl.
AAAAAAUCUCCUCUUUUACGUUUCGGGAGAGAAAACAAGUAACUCAACUCUCGCAACACAUCCCAACGCUCCUCAUUCAUUGAUCAAAGAUGCACAAAGGUUUGUUGCGCCAUACCCAGGGAAAAUCUCUGUGGCGUUCCGCAAGAGGCCACUUGGAUAUUAAAAAUGACCCCAAGCUUCAGGACAAGUCUGCACCUGUGAGGGAAGACGAUGCUCUGACUGUCAUCUAUCAGAGAGGAGGCGAUGCCUCCAACAUGAAGGAAGUGCAGGGAGAGUACAUCCUGCAGUUUGGAAAAUAUAAAGGGAAAUCUUUCCGGUGGCUUCUGGAGAAUGAUGUCGGGUACACCAUGUACCUGAUCAAAGAUCUCAGGAAAGAAGUGGAUGCAGGGACCUCUGUGGAAGAAGGGCAUGGCAAGGAGAGCUUGCAUUCAUUUGUACAGUAUACCCUCAGCUUUGCAGAGAUAAAAGCUCUUCUGGACUAUGAGGCCAGCAGAGUGAGUGUUGCUGCAGAAGCCUCUGAGGAUGAUCAGCUGGUUGGCUUUGGCUCACGAGCCAAGAGCACCUGGAAGGAGAUUUGGGACGGCAGAGGUGACGGCUAUGCAGACCUUAUCAUGAGGAAGAGCUGCAGUCAAGGAACACGGCUGCAUAAGCUGCAGCAGUCUGCGCCUGCUUCCACAAAUGCUCCAACUAAACCCCUGGGGAUGGAUGAGGAUAAAGACCUGGAGGACGCAAUGCUGAGCAUGUCACCUGUAAAACUACACGUGCAGAGCUUCACUGUGCCAGCAGCAGCAGGGUCCACACCCAGAGGAGCUUCAGGAGCAAACACAGGUUUUCAAAUGAAAGGUUUCAGAACUGGAGUACAAUUGUUUUACAUAAUAAUAAUGGAUUGGAUUUAUAUAGCGCUUUUCAAGGCACCCAAAGCACUUUACAAUGCCACUAUUCACUCACUCUCAACACUGGUGGAGGCAGCUACAGGUGUAGCCACAGCUGCCCUGGGGCAGACUGACAGAAGCGAGGCUGCCAUAUCACGCCAUCGGCCCCUCUGGCCAACACCAGUAGGCGGUAGGGUAAAGUGUCUUGCCCAAAGACACAACGACCAGGACAGAGAGCCUGGGGAUCGAACCGGCAACCUUCCGGUUACAGAUACGCUUCCCAACCCCCUGAGCCAUGGUCACCCAUAAUUGCUCUCCAAAGCUGAGCCUGAACUUUUAUAUAUUGUCUUGUUCUUGUUUUGUGUGUUCUGGCCACGUUCUGGCGAUGUUCCGCUAAUAGUAUAGUUGUAUGCUGGUGUUAAUAGGAAAAUUGUACUUAGUAGUCAGUAUAAUCUUUUAAUGAUAUAAGUUUGCAUAUGGUAGAAUGCUGCAUGUAAUUAUUUGUGUGUAGAAGUAUAUAGUUGGUGGCAUAUUGAAAGAAUGUCUCAUCCUAGGAGGUCUGUAACAUUCUAGGGUGUUCACCCCCACAUCCUAGGAUCAUGGGAGAGGUCGUACCUUGUCUUAUUGUUUUACGGUAGGAUUAACGUAGCUAUGUCAGCUUUAGUCUAAGUGCUUUUUGGUUUGAUGAACUGCUGGACUUCGAGACCAGCAGGUUUAGGGAAGUUGUUUAUGGGGCCACACUCUGACCACACACACACACACACACACACACACACACACACACACACACACACACACACACACACACACCUCCACAUUCCAAUGUAAGGAACAAACGCUCACUGAAGUAUAAAUAAAGACCGGGGCAGUUUCUCAGCGCGAGUCUCUCAGUCUGGAGGCUGCCCUUGCUAGCAAGAAGUUCUGUGUGUUUCUCUUCUCUGAGUCUUUACUGAAGAAGUGUUUUAGAAUAUAUUUCUUAACAGCUGGCAUUAUGCUAACUGUCCUGAGGACUCAACCACAAAGGGUGAGUAUGUGUUCUUGUUCUCUAUGAAUGUGUUAAAAACAAGUAGCAGUAGUUACUAACACCUGAAUGCAUGUUGUUCACUGACUUAUACCGCUCCUCCUGCUUCGAUGAGAAGAGGUUAAAAUGAUUUGGUUUGGCAUCUCGGUUGCAUAUAAAUAAAUUACAUUUGUUCUGCAAUGAGAAACAGGAGAAGUAAGAGUAUGGAUGUGUGAGUUCCUACUAACAGCAACACUCACAUACAGUGUAAAUUAUGAAGCUGCUGACACGUUUUCUUGUUGUAGUUCCAUCUGCUGCACUGUCCAUACCACCGUCCAGUACAACUGCAGAACCUCAGGCAUCAUCAGCCGAUGGUGCAGCCUCAAGUGUGAAGAGGAAGUCACCUGCGCCCCUCCCACAGGAGCUGGCAUUUCUACUUAAGGAGACCACAGGACCGAGUACAGAUGCUGCUUCCACAUCUGUGUGCAAAGUGCUGACUUUUGAAGACAGCAGUGAAGAUGAUCCUUCAGCUCAGCCAGCUGUUCCAGUUCCAGUGGCUGGUUAUGAGUAUGACCUCAGCAGCUGGAAUUGUUCUACUCACCAGCAGCUGUGGAUGAAGACUGAGCUUCAGGACCUUGGACUGUGGCCUGGGUCUCGACCAGUGCGUCACGCAGGGAACGCGACUUCACUCUGGCGUCUCCCUCCACAGCCUGAGCUCAUAGAUACAGUGGCUGACCUACCAUCGCCAAAUUUCUUCCAGCUCCACCCCUUCUUCAGCCUUCUUCUCCAACCUGAGAGUGUUAGUGCUAUCAUGGUCAGGUUAAGAAACAAUUAUAUCUUGCCAUGUCUCCAUGAUUGCUUUGGUUCACAAGUGGUCUCUGCUGGUGUGGGCAGGCCACGAGUAAUUGUUGGCACCAGUGGUCAGUAUUACAUCCUGUCCUCACGACUCUGCUGCAGGGCUUGUCGCAGGAACUGGUUUGCUGACAAUCCACGAUGGCUGGAGAAACUGCCCAAAAGGUUUACCAACCUUCUCCCUGCUUUUCUUACAUAUAAAAAGGCCAUCUGCAAGUCUGUUAUGGAUAAGCUCAGGAGGACUGGGAAAUCUCCAGCAGAUAUUGCAAAACAAUUAAAUGAACUCAUGCACCUCAAGUACGAGCGAGCUCACCUGGCGUACCUCCAUGCCACAGAAUCGGUCUGGGAUUCUGAGGCAGGAGCCCAUGGACAGAGGACCAUUGGGAAGUUCCUGAGGAAGGAAAAUAAGCCACAGGAGUUCAGGUCUUAUGAAGACCCACAUGCCUGGUGUGGUGUUUCUGUGUCCAGCCAUUACCUGACUGACUGCCUGCUCGACGAAUUCCGACGUCAACAUCCAGUCAUAUCCAAACUCCUCCAGGCCACAUCUUCAGGUCUGACCACACCAGGAAGGUGGCACGAAAAGUCACGCUGGCAUCUGGGGUCAUGUCCAGUUAUUACAUAAUGAAUGAAAACUGGCUGAGUGUUUCGUGGGUCAUGGUUCAGUCUGAGACAGAAAGGUCUCAGACUGAACCAUGUACCAGGGAAUGGCCAAAAGGUACAGUGAUGCAGGAGUGGAAAAGGCCGGCUACCACUGGUACCAGUGGACCCGUUCCACUGCCUGAGGCGAGUGGAGUGAACCUCUGAGCAUCAUCCUCUGUUCAGCACUUUCUGCCAGCUUCUCUCUGCUGCAUUCUCAGUGGUUGAUCAGGCGGACCUGAAGAGGCUCCAGGAUGCUUAUAAGUUUUGUGGCAUCCAUCCUGCUAAUCCCACAAAGCAACACAUAUGGGAGCACUGCAGGAUCCAAAUACCACAACCCACUGAGCUGCUGAACAGAGCGGAAAAGAUCCUGAAUCAUUUUCACCUGGCCACAGACCCCAACAAUGUCCCACUCUUCAAGCCAUCCAUGCUGAAGACGUGGUGCAUUCAGAGAGUCCACAUUCUGCGUGGCUGCCUCAGUGACCCUGAACUCUCAGAGGGUGUAAUGUUUAGGUACGGUGGGACUCUUCAGCUUAACCAUGUCCCUGGUGAAGGUGCCAAGGUCCCCAUCUGGAUUCCUGUCCGAGGCACUUCACAGCAGGAGGGUUAUCAUUUCCACCAGGCCCAGUGGAUUACCGGGACUCAUGUAUCCAAUGAACUAUUCCAAGUCCAGGGCAUGACAGGGGUGGCACGAUGGAACUACCAAAGACUGGUGGACCUUAAGCAUCCAGGUGUCAUUCUCCCUUCUGUUUUUGAUCCAGCUCUAGUGGUGGAGUUGAAUGCAGCCUCCAGAAGAGUGACUGAUCAGGAGAAGUACCCUGCACUUCACCUCUCUGACAGAGACACUGGAGAGCGAUUUGGGCUUGAACACAGAGAGCCAGGCUGCCGUCCAGUCCCUCUGAACUGGGACAAACACAAAACCCUGAGAAAAGAUGAACCGGCUGCCCUUCAGCCCCCAUCCUCUGUUCCAAAACCUGUGGCUGCCCAACUUCAGGUUCCAGCAGCAGGACCCUCCUCCAGCCUGGCACCGCUAGGUGUGGCAUCCCCCACACCAGCACCACCUGUCACCCACCCUUUCUCUGGUGCACUUUUAAAGCAGGAGUUAGCAUCAGAAGACACCCAGCAACCUACAACAGUCAUGGAAAUCUCUGAAGCUCUACCUCUGCCGAUGCGGGCCUCACCAAGGAGUGCUCGCACUGGACCUAUAAAGACAGGUGGACGGGUUUUUGUGCUGGACCACACAUGCUGGACACGACCCAUGAAAGAGGCAAUAGAUGAUCUGUUGCAAAAGUACCAUGGGAAGAAGGACAUCCUGAAGCUUGUGGAUCAAGAUUAUGCAGACAUGGUCCAUCACUCGGCUACAGAUCCCAACAGCCUGCUGCGUCCCACAUCCAAGGUGCACAUAUCCUGGUAGUUGAAGCACUUGGCUAAGCUUCUCAACACCAGUUCAUCUUUGAACAUAAGCCCAGAAAAACUACUGGAGACUCAGCAGCUGUGGCACUCUUUAACUGAAGGCAGUGAAACAACUAGUGUCCCUGUAAUCACCAUAGAGCCUGCCGCGUUUAACCCACCUCCUCCUGCCCCGUCUACACCACUGACACAAGUCUCAACAGAGAAGAUUGUGGACGGCAUCUUAGAAAGGCAACAGCAGCAGCAGCCACAGCAGCAGCCUGAGGGGAAAAAGGGCAGACAAAGACUUGUCUUGCCUGUGGACAGCCCAAGUCUCAAUGUGAGACAGAUGGAUCCACCGUCGAUUAUUUUUACCAGAGAGGGCCUGUGCGCUAUUUCUACAGUUCCCACAAGGUGCAUCAAACUUAUGCUGCUGAGGGAAUCACUAACCCUAAAAUGACCUUUGAGGAAUUUGCCCAGACAGACUUUUUCCAAAGGGAACUGGAUGCUACCAGGAAGAGGUCAGAGGAAAGGAUGGAGAAAAAGAGGAAAAGGCCAGAAACCCAACAAACAGGCCGCCUCUGCAGGUUCUGCCACAUGGACCUGAAACAGGGCCCAAAUAGCUCACAUGUUCACACAGGCUUCCCUGGAGUGGCAGGGAAAUAUAUCUACUGCCCUUCAAAAGUGCACUCUCUGCCCGGGCACAAGGGCUUGGCCAAGGGGAUGACCUGGAAGGAGUUUCAGGAGUCUCCUUUUUAUGAGGCAGAGAGACAAAGAUGGGUGGAAGAAAAGAGGAAAUAGGGGAGAAACUGUUGAUAUUGUACAUAAUAUAGUUUUGUUCUAGUUUUGUAAUGUUUAUUUUGUUUAUAUAAAUAAAAACUGAUUGUAAAUAUAAAAAUGUGAAUAAAUUGUGUUCUUUAAAAAUAGCAGCACAGCUCUCUUCUUUAUAACCUCUUAGAGUUCACCUGUAUGUUUAUAUACCUGUGUGUGCUCACCAUCAGGUAAUCAGUUUUAAGAAGCUGUGAGUGCUGCCCUGAAAGCUUACAUAUUAUUUCUAAAUCACUUCAUGUAAUGAUAACAAGCCAUCCUUUCUCUAGUGGGGUCUCACAGCUUUUAUCUUUAUAAUCUUUCUGGUUGAUUUAUAUCAUUAGAAACAUGACUGCUGUCUUGUAUCUGUGUGACUGUACAACCUAUUUCAGACAUGACAACCAGACAGUGUCUGAAGUUAUCUUUAAUGCAUGAAACACAGCUGGAGAUAGUCCAGACACUUUCUCACUGAUAUUUUUGGUUUAGGUAUUGUUGCUUUCUGGCU